UACAUAAAGGUGUAUGAUGCACAUUAGUUUUUGAUACUAAAAGGCACAGUUUAAUUCUGUUUUAUGUAA
RNAcentral lists this transfer RNA (69 nucleotides) under Prorocorypha snowi. Its description in RNAcentral is "tRNA-Gln". It matches the Rfam family "tRNA". From Rfam's summary of the family: Transfer RNA (tRNA) molecules are approximately 80 nucleotides in length. Their secondary structure includes four short double-helical elements and three loops (D, anti-codon, and T loops). Further hydrogen bonds mediate the characteristic L-shaped molecular structure. tRNAs have two regions of fundamental functional importance: the anti-codon, which is responsible for specific mRNA codon recognition, and the 3' end, to which the tRNAs corresponding amino acid is attached (by aminoacyl-tRNA synthetases). tRNAs cope with the degeneracy of the genetic code in two manners: having more than one tRNA (with a specific anti-codon) for a particular amino acid; and 'wobble' base-pairing, i.e. permitting non-standard base-pairing at the 3rd anti-codon position. The record is from RNAcentral. Lineage: Eukaryota; Metazoa; Arthropoda; Insecta; Orthoptera; Acrididae.